Molecule: ribosomal RNA, 480 nt
Filed under: uncultured bacterium
Lineage: Bacteria
Description: partial 16S ribosomal RNA
Rfam family: Bacterial small subunit ribosomal RNA
Source: RNAcentral
GACGAACGCUGGCGGCGUGCUUAACACAUGCAAGUCGAACGAUGAAGAAAAGAAUCGAAGCUUCGGCAGAAAUUCAUUUCGGAUUAGUGGCAGACGGGUGAGUAACGCGUGAGCAACCUACCUCUUACAAAGGGAUAGCCUCGGGAAACCGGGAUUAAUACCAUAUAACAUUGCGACGAAGCAUUUCGAUGCAAUCAAAGCUACGGCGGUAAGGGAUGGGCUCGCGUCCCAUUAACCGGAUGGUGAGGUAACGGCUCACCAUAGUGACGAUGGGUAACCGGCCUGAGAGGGUGAACGGUCACACUGGAACUGAGACACGGUCCAGACUCCUACGGGAAGCAGCAGUGGGGAAUAUUGCACAAUGGAGGGAACUCUGAUGCAGCGACGCCGCGUGAGUGAUGAAGGAAUUCGUUUCGUAAAACUCUGUUCUAUGGGAAGAAAAGGACUGUACCAUAGGAGAAAGCGCCGGCUAAAUACGUG